RNAcentral lists this ribosomal RNA (332 nucleotides) under uncultured bacterium. Its description in RNAcentral is "bacterial SSU rRNA". It matches the Rfam family "Bacterial small subunit ribosomal RNA", at positions 8 to 334 of the family's 1533-position model. The record is from RNAcentral.
AGGGUUUGAUUAUGGCUCAGGAUGAACGCUAGCUACAGGCUUAACACAUGCAAGUCGAGGGGCAUCAUGCUUAUAGCAAUAUAAGUGAUGGCGACCGGCGCACGGGUGAGUAACACGUAUCCAACCUGCCGAUAACUCGGGGAUAGCCUUUCGAAAGAAAGAUUAAUACCCGAUGGCAUAAUAGAACCGCAUGGUUUGAUUAUUAAAGAAUUUCGGUUAUCGAUGGGGAUGCGUUCCAUUAGGCAGUUGGUGGGGUAACGGCCCACCAAACCUUCGAUGGAUAGGGGUUCUGAGAGGAAGGUCCCCCACAUUGGAACUGAGACACGGUCCAA